UACGAAGGGGGCGAGCGUUGUUCGGAAUUACUGGGCGUAAAGGGCGCGCAGGCGGUCCUUCAAGUCAGAUGUGAAAGCCCCGGGCUCAACCUGGGAACUGCAUUUGAGACUGGAGGACUUGAGGACGGGAGAGGAGAGUGGAAUUCCCAGUGUAGAGGUGAAAUUCGUAGAUAUUGGGAAGAACACCGAUGGCGAAGGCAGCUCUCUGGACCGUUACUGACGCUGAGGCGCGAAAGCGUUGGGAGCAAACAGG
This 253-nucleotide ribosomal RNA is filed under the name uncultured bacterium. RNAcentral describes it as "partial 16S ribosomal RNA". It matches the Rfam family "Bacterial small subunit ribosomal RNA", at positions 524 to 776 of the family's 1533-position model. The record is from RNAcentral.